UGUGUUGAAACACCAGUUUUCGUACAAUCGCUGAAGUUAACCAACGUCGAGCCUGGUCAGUACCUAGAUGGGUAACCGCUUUGAAAUAUCAAGUGUUGCAAGC
Molecule: non-coding RNA, 103 nt
Organism: Acanthosepion pharaonis
Lineage: Eukaryota; Metazoa; Mollusca; Cephalopoda; Sepiida; Sepiidae
Source: the annotation of a GenBank genome assembly